Molecule: regulatory RNA element, 126 nt
Organism: Serratia fonticola
Lineage: Bacteria; Pseudomonadati; Pseudomonadota; Gammaproteobacteria; Enterobacterales; Yersiniaceae
Rfam family: Phenylalanine leader peptide
Source: Rfam
CAUGAGCCGUAAACCGUUUUUCUUCGCAUUCUUUUUUACCUUCCCCUGAUUGGGAGGCGUUUCGUCGUGUGAGAAAGAAUGCGAAGACGAACAACCAAGCCUCCUCAAGCAGGGGGCUUUUUUUAU